GUCGGUAUUGCAAUGCACUAAUUAGCAUAUAUGAAUUUACCUGUAUGACGAUACAAUGAGCCUAGCAUUCUUUAUUUUUAUCUCCAAACGCGUAAAUAUGGGUCAACCCGUGUGUACAAUUAAUGCAAGCGUAAAAUGGAAUGUUUACUACAUACAUAUGUUUUAUUUUUAUUAUUUCCAGGGUAAUGGAUUUACAUCUACCAGCUAGAGUCCAAGUGUUUGGGCUGGCCUAAAAGAAAAAUCAAAAGAUGCUCAUUGAUACUGCAAGAAGUAAAGAGUUGAUACAGAAAAAACCCAGACUGCCUGGAAAUGAGCGCGUUACAGCGAGAGACGGAUCUUGACAAUUUUAAACCAUUGUAAUGUUGCUUUAUUUGGCGGGUAACCGAUCUGGACAAUUAACCAUUGGAAUGUUGCUUUAUUUGGCAGGUAACCGAUCUGGACAAUUAACCAUUGGAAUGUUGCUUUAUUUGGCAGGUAACCGAUCUGGACAAUUAACCAUUGGAAUGUUGCUUUAUUUUGCGGGUAACCGAUCUGGACAAUUAACCAUUGGAAUGUUGCUUUAUUUGAUCUAUAUUGAACUGUCGUUGCAUUUAUAUUUACGUCAUGAUACUUUGAUCCAUUGUUAAUUUUAAUUUAGCAAUUUACAUUAAUUUAUGUGAUUAAUUACUAAGUGUUACCAUGUCAUAGUGACAAAGAUCAACUUUGUAUUCUUCCAAGAGUCAGCAUAUUUUUGCUUUCUAUUAUUUUGCCAUUUUGUCACCUUUGAAGCAGUUUAGAUCUGCAUUCAUUAGAUUUUAUCUUGUGUAACAACUGAAAAGACACAAAAUGGACUGAGUAAAUACGAAUAUAUAGACGAUAUUUUGUAAACCAAAAAGUUGAUAUUUUGUAAACCUCUGAGAUACUGAAAGGUGAAAAAAUAAAAGGUGUCGAAAAGUGGGCUAUUUCUGUAUCUUUUUACCAUACUAAAGGUGUACAAAAGACAAACUUUUAAACCUUUCCAAAAAAUUCAGAAGGACCAUAAAAAAUAUAAAAAAGGUAAACAAAACGUAGCCUUUCAAUCACCUUUUGUCAUGUACAAAAGGCGUUUUUUCGUGCAGUUUAAUUAUCCAUGAAAAUAAUAUGAAAAAAAAUAAUUAAUAAAACUGGCUUAGAUCCGCCAAAGCGUCUCUGCCACUACAUGUAUAUUCACAUUUUUGCUAUUUCAGGGUAGUUUAUCGAAAACGAAAAUGGGGUUUUAAUUAAAUCUGCGACAGUAACUAAUCAAGUAAGAUUCUAUUCUAGCUUACGGACUUCACCUCAUCACAAUUGGUUAACUGAUGCCAGGAACUUGCUACAUAAUUUAGGACUUGGAUAUGCUUGGAAUAACCAGAAUGUUGAAAAGAAAUUAGCAUUUAUUUCUAGUUGUAAUCAAUUUAUAAAUGAUUUAUUAAAGCUGUAUGACCC
This is a long non-coding RNA of Ostrea edulis (European flat oyster), 1443 nucleotides long. RefSeq lists it as uncharacterized. The transcript is spliced from 2 exons. The record is from RefSeq and is a predicted model, not a curated record. NCBI's taxonomy places the organism in Eukaryota, Metazoa, Mollusca, Bivalvia, Ostreida, Ostreidae.